This 289-nucleotide ribosomal RNA is filed under the name Tetrahymena malaccensis. RNAcentral describes it as "large subunit ribosomal RNA". The record is from RNAcentral. Lineage: Eukaryota; Ciliophora; Oligohymenophorea; Hymenostomatida; Tetrahymenidae.
GUAGUUGAUUUUAAUACGCACUAGAUGGAUGCCUAGAAUUUAAACUUCUUCGUAAACAAAUUUACGAUAUCUAUUUAGUAAAUAACAUAUUGAUAUGUUUAUGUAUUGGAGAUUAAUAGAUAAAGUUAAAAAAAUAAUGAAGUGAAACAUCAUAGUAAUUAUUUUUAAAAACUCAAUUGAGAAUAGUAUAAUGGUGAGUAAAUACUAUAAGUUUUAUUAUUUUUAAAAAUUGAAAAAUUUGGAGAAAAUUUACCAUAGAAGGUGAAAGUCCUGUAAAUUUAUUUAAAUC